GAUGAACGCUGGCGGCGUGCCUAAUACAUGCAAGUCGAGCGAACAGAUGAGGAGCUUGCUCCUCUGACGUUAGCGGCGGACGGGUGAGUAACACGUGGAUAACCUACCUAUAAGACUGGGAUAACUUCGGGAAACCGGAGCUAAUACCGGAUAAUAUAUUGAACCGCAUGGUUCAAUAGUGAAAGACGGUUUUGCUGUCACUUAUAGAUGGAUCCGCGCCGCAUUAGCUAGUUGGUAAGGUAACGGCUUACCAAGGCAACGAUGCGUAGCCGACCUGAGAGGGGGAUCGGCCACACUGGAACUGAGACACGGUCCAGAAUCCUACGGGAGGCAGCAGUAGGGAAUCUGCCGCAAUGGGCGAAAGCUUGACGGAGCAACGCCGCGUGAGUGAUGAAGGUCUUCGGAUCGUAAAACUCUGUUAUUAGGGAAGAACAAAUGUGUAAGUAACUAUGCACGUCUUGACGGUACCUAAUCAGAAAGCCACGGCUAACUACGU
RNAcentral lists this ribosomal RNA (496 nucleotides) under uncultured bacterium. Its description in RNAcentral is "partial 16S ribosomal RNA". It matches the Rfam family "Bacterial small subunit ribosomal RNA", at positions 28 to 506 of the family's 1533-position model. The record is from RNAcentral.